RNAcentral lists this unclassified non-coding RNA (348 nucleotides) under soil metagenome. RNAcentral's name for it is "partial contains 5.8S ribosomal RNA, internal transcribed spacer 2, and large subunit ribosomal RNA". The stretch from base 1 to 120 matches the Rfam family "5.8S ribosomal RNA", at positions 35 to 154 of the family's 154-position model. The record is from RNAcentral.
GAUGAAGAACGUAGCGAAAUGCGAUAAGUAAUGUGAAUUGCAGAAUUCAGUGAAUCAUCGAGUCUUUGAACGCACAUUGCGCCCCCUGGUAUUCCGGGGGGCAUGCCUGUCCGAGCGUCAUUGCUGCCCUCAAGCACGGCUUGUGUGUUGGGCCCCCGUCCCCGGUUUCCCCCGGGGACGGGCCCGAAAGGCAGCGGCGGCACCGCGUCCGGUCCUCGAGCGUAUGGGGCUUUGUCACCCGCUCUGUAGGCCCAGCCGGCGCCAGCCGACACCCAACUUUAUUUCUAAGGUUGACCUCGGAUCAGGUAGGGAUACCCGCUGAACUUAAGCAUAUCAAUAAGCGGAGGA